ACGGAGGGUGCAAGCGUUGUUCGGAAUUACUGGGCGUAAAGGGCGCGUAGGCGGUUUGAUAAGUCAGAUGUGAAAGCCCACGGCUUAACUGUGGAAGUGCAUUUGAUACUGUCAGACUUGAGUACCAGAGGGGAAAGUGGAAUUCCCGGUGUAGAGGUGGAAUGCGUAGAUAUCGGGAGGAAUGCCGGUGGCGAAGGCGGCUUUCUGGCUGGAUACUGACGCUGAGGCGCGAAAGCGUGGGGAGCAAACAG
This 251-nucleotide ribosomal RNA is filed under the name uncultured prokaryote. Its description in RNAcentral is "partial 16S rRNA". It matches the Rfam family "Bacterial small subunit ribosomal RNA", at positions 525 to 775 of the family's 1533-position model. The record is from RNAcentral.